GACCAUAGGUGGGAUGCCCAAAGGAUUGGGCAGCUUGCAAAAUUUUUCUCUCUUUCUUCUUACAUCUAGCGAUCAAAAGUUUUGUUAGAUGUAUGUCCUAGAAGCUAGAUUAGCUAAUACAUAUACACAUUCUAGGGACAUAACUUUAUAAUUAAAAUUUUGAAAUGAAUAAAAUUUUGAUUUUUUUUAUUCAUGUUGUGUUUAAAUUAUGUCCAUGAAUCAUUCGAGAAAUUAACAAAUGAUGACAUGUAUUCUC
Molecule: long non-coding RNA, 256 nt
Filed under: Elaeis guineensis (African oil palm)
Lineage: Eukaryota; Viridiplantae; Streptophyta; Magnoliopsida; Arecales; Arecaceae
Description: long non-coding RNA (EGUI_LNC057627)
Source: RNAcentral